AUCCAACUGACGAGUCCAGAAUAAAGCGAAACGUGCGUUCUGGAU
Schistosoma mansoni is the source of this 45-nucleotide non-coding RNA. The record is from Rfam. Lineage: Eukaryota; Metazoa; Platyhelminthes; Trematoda; Strigeidida; Schistosomatidae.